This 75-nucleotide transfer RNA is filed under the name Pseudomonadota bacterium. RNAcentral's name for it is "tRNA-Arg". It matches the Rfam family "tRNA". From Rfam's summary of the family: Transfer RNA (tRNA) molecules are approximately 80 nucleotides in length. Their secondary structure includes four short double-helical elements and three loops (D, anti-codon, and T loops). The record is from RNAcentral. RNAcentral also lists the same sequence under 1 other name. Lineage: Bacteria; Pseudomonadati; Pseudomonadota.
GCCCUCGUAGCUCAGCGGAUAGAGCAUCGGCCUCCGGAGCCGUGAGCGCAGGUUCGAUUCCUGCCGAGGGCGCCA